Molecule: long non-coding RNA, 200 nt
Filed under: Capsicum annuum
Lineage: Eukaryota; Viridiplantae; Streptophyta; Magnoliopsida; Solanales; Solanaceae
Description: long non-coding RNA (CANN_LNC003204)
Source: RNAcentral
UCUAGAACCUUUUCAUACAAAAUAGAUUGUCAUCUGCCCUCACCAUGUUAAUCAUCAUAAUAACCCAUCCAAACAUAUUGGGUUCUUGAUUUGGUUAAAUUAAUUUUCAUCUUGACCUUGGCCAUACUCCCCCUCGUUUUUUUGUAAGAUACCAAGUUAAGAAAUAAUACCUUCCCUAUAGGAGAAAGUAGAAGUGUCAC